This 451-nucleotide ribosomal RNA is filed under the name uncultured organism. Its description in RNAcentral is "partial 16S ribosomal RNA". It matches the Rfam family "Bacterial small subunit ribosomal RNA", at positions 333 to 800 of the family's 1533-position model. The record is from RNAcentral.
ACACUCCUACGGGAGGCAGCAGUGGGGAAUAUUGGACAAUGGGCGCAAGCCUGAUCCAGCCAUGCCGCGUGAGUGAUGAAGGCCCUAGGGUUGUAAAGCUCUUUCACCGGAGAAGAUAAUGACGGUAUCCGGAGAAGAAGCCCCGGCUAACUUCGUGCCAGCAGCCGCGGUAAUACGAAGGGGGCUAGCGUUGUUCGGAAUUACUGGGCGUAAAGCGCACGUAGGCGGAUCGAUCAGUCAGGGGUGAAAUCCCAGGGCUCAACCCUGGAACUGCCUUUGAUACUGUCGAUCUGGAGUAUGGAAGAGGUGAGUGGAAUUCCGAGUGUAGAGGUGAAAUUCGUAGAUAUUCGGAGGAACACCAGUGGCGAAGGCGGCUCACUGGUCCAUUACUGACGCUGAGGUGCGAAAGCGUGGGGAGCAAACAGGAUUAGAUACCCCAGUAGUCCCAUGA